RNAcentral lists this ribosomal RNA (497 nucleotides) under uncultured bacterium. RNAcentral describes it as "partial 16S ribosomal RNA". It matches the Rfam family "Bacterial small subunit ribosomal RNA", at positions 28 to 507 of the family's 1533-position model. The record is from RNAcentral.
GACGAACGCUGGCGGCGUGCCUAAUACAUGCAAGUUGAGCGCUGAAAGUUGAUACUUGUACCUACUGGAUGCGCAGCGCACGGGUGAGUAACGCGUGGGGAAUCUGCCUUUGAGCGGGGGACAACAUUUGGAAAAGAAUGCUAAUAACGCAUUAACACUUUAAACCCAAGGUUUAAGAUUGAAAGAUCCCAUUGCAUCACUCAAAGCUGAUCCCGCGUUGUUUUAGGUAGGUGGUGAGGGAAAGGGUCACCACGGCGAAGAUACAUAGCCGGCCUGAGAAGGAGGACGGCCACAACUGGACUGAGACCAGGGCCAAACUCCUACGGGGGGCAGCAGUAGGGAAUUAUUGGAAAUGGGCGGAAAGCUGACCGAACAACGCCGGGGGAGAUAAGAAGGGUUUCGGGUCGGAAAACUCUGUUGGGAGGGAAGAACGUUGGUAAGAGUGGAAAGCUCAUCAAGUGACGUUAACUACCCAGGAAGCGACGGCUAACUACGUG